ACCGAAAAUCGACGAUUUUCCAGGUUAGGAAAUCACGAUAUGAACAUGGCUUGCACAAAUUCUGAUGGUUAUAUUCGAGAAACUACUGAUUGUUUUUGAUGUAUUGCGUUUGGACCGAAAAUCGACGAUUUUCAAGAAAUCACUGUAUAAACAUAGCUAGCACAAAUUCUGAUGGUUGAAUUUGAAGAAUUAUAGAUAACUUUGAAGUUAUUGCGAUUGACCGAAAAUCGACGAUAUUCCGAAAAUCACUGUAUAAACAUGGCUUGCACUAAUUCUCAUGGUAAUAUUCGAGAAAUUACUGUUUACCUUGGAUUUAUUGUGUUUGGACGGAAAAUCGACGAUUUUCC
RNAcentral lists this long non-coding RNA (347 nucleotides) under Cotesia glomerata. Its description in RNAcentral is "uncharacterized LOC123267752, transcript variant X2". The record is from RNAcentral. Lineage: Eukaryota; Metazoa; Arthropoda; Insecta; Hymenoptera; Braconidae.